Molecule: unclassified non-coding RNA, 542 nt
Filed under: Hevea brasiliensis (rubber tree)
Lineage: Eukaryota; Viridiplantae; Streptophyta; Magnoliopsida; Malpighiales; Euphorbiaceae
Source: RNAcentral
AAAAAAAAAGAAAAAAGAAAAGAAGAAAGAAGAGUUAUCAUUAUUCUAUAUGGUUCUUAAUCAACUGGACAAUAUAUUGAAAAUUAAUCUGGUUCUGAUGGCGUCAGGGGGGAAAUGUUUUAUUUUUUAUGUUGUUGCAGCAGUGGAAAUUGUUGUUAAGUUUCUAGAUUAACUUGCAAUGUUAAAUAUUCCCCUUGAACCAGUGAGUUAAAAGUUUCCUUAGUAGAUUUUUGUUUUAUCAAAGUAUAAUAAAGGCCCUUCAUUCAGUGAAAGAAUUUCUAGUGUACGGAUUUUAUCAGUUUUUUAUGAUAAGGCAAGCAUAGGAAAGCUGUAAUGAUCGUCUCCAUUGCUUCCACAAUUUAAAGAGUACUAAGAAAUUCUAAUUGCAAAUAACCUAACAAAGAAUAUGGUCAUGACAAAUCUAAGCUGCAAUUGUUUUCCCUUUGACUCUUUGCCAUAGAAAAAAAAUGUAUUGUUUCAAUGGUUAUUUAAGUUUGCUUAUUGUUUUCUUUUGGAUUUAGAUUCUAGGUGAUGGGGAGGUA